Molecule: ribosomal RNA, 253 nt
Filed under: uncultured bacterium
Lineage: Bacteria
Description: partial 16S ribosomal RNA
Rfam family: Bacterial small subunit ribosomal RNA
Source: RNAcentral
GACAGAGGUGCCGAGCGUUAGGCGGAAUCACUGGGCUUAAAGCGUGUGUAGGCGGCCCGUUAAAUACCUUGUGAAAUCCCCCGGCUCAACCGGGGAACGGCUGGGUAUACUGGCGGUCUUGAGCCAUCCAGGGGCAGUCGGAACAGACGGUGGAGCGGUGAAAUGCGUAGAUAUCGUCAGGAAUGCCGGUGGUGAAGACGGGUGACUGGGCUGGUUCUGACACUGAGGCACGAAAGCGUGGGGAGCGAACGGG